This 274-nucleotide ribosomal RNA is filed under the name uncultured bacterium. RNAcentral describes it as "partial 16S ribosomal RNA". It matches the Rfam family "Archaeal small subunit ribosomal RNA", at positions 473 to 747 of the family's 1478-position model. The record is from RNAcentral.
AAACCAGCACCUCAAGUGGUCAGGAUGAUUAUUGGGCCUAAAGCAUCCGUAGCCGGCUCUGUAAGUUUUCGGUUAAAUCUGUACGCUCAACGUACAGGCUGUCGGGAAUACUGCAGAGCUAGGGAGUGGGAGAGGUAGACGGUACUCGGGAGGAAGUGGUAAAAUGCUUUGAUCUCUCGAUGACCACCUGUGGCGAAGGCGGUCUACCAGAACACAUCCGACGGUGAGGGAUGAAAGCUGGGGGAGCAAACCGGAUUAGAAACCCGAGUAGUCC